This is a non-coding RNA of Batrachochytrium salamandrivorans, 72 nucleotides long. NCBI's taxonomy places the organism in Eukaryota, Fungi, Chytridiomycota, Chytridiomycetes, Rhizophydiales. The record is from Rfam.
GCUACCUUAGCUCAACAGGGAGAGCGCUCGACUUAAGAUCGAGAAAUCCGUGUUCGAACCACGGAGGUCGCA